Molecule: long non-coding RNA, 444 nt
Filed under: Homo sapiens (human)
Lineage: Eukaryota; Metazoa; Chordata; Mammalia; Primates; Hominidae
Description: HSALNT0235282
Source: RNAcentral
GUGGGGCCGUGGCGGGCAAGGACCACCGCACAGGGUGAAGGGUCUCAGGCAGCAAAGCAACUGCUCCCACCGCACAGCUGCAGAAACGGAGGCUGCCCGGUCCCACGGGGGACGGCAGCGCCGCAGGGCCUGCGCCCAGACCUCCUGCCCAGCUGGCCCCUCGUCCUGGUGGGGUCCAGGGCUGCGGCGUCCUGGAAGCUUGUGGGGCGCUAGAGCUCUGAGCUCUGUGAUGCAGGCCUGCCCUGGGCCUGCUGCCCCGCCUGAAACCAGGAGUUAACACAUCAGCCUCCAACCCACAGAGGCGGAGCCUAGGAUGCUGGAGUGGGGCUGGGGCAAGGGUGGGAGCCACCAUCAGGGAGAGCCUGUGCCGGGAGGGCGUGGAGUUAUGGGGACCCACUGCUGCUGGGUUCCCAGCACCGAAUGCACUUGUGUCCUGAGCUGUAC